This is a long non-coding RNA of Homo sapiens (human), 1442 nucleotides long. Ensembl annotates it as MIR924 host gene. Its record names the gene MIR924HG. The record is from Ensembl. Lineage: Eukaryota; Metazoa; Chordata; Mammalia; Primates; Hominidae.
GUCCAAAGGUAGGAAUCGUAAGAGUGUACAGAAAUAAGUCACAUGCAGACCAUAUUGAAAUACGCAGAGAAUUCCAUGGAGACUCUGAUGGCUAGGGCACCGUUGAGCUGUUGCAACUGUUCUGCUGGAGCCUUAUGUAUGUGGUUGAAACCACCUGUACUACUGGAAUGAAAGCACCUUUACAGAAGAGGCAAUGCAAGUUGUAUUCAUCACAUGUGUAGAAUGAAUUAAGAUUUAUGCCAGUUGCAAAGAAGAAUAUUGGCUCACUAUUUUUCCUCUGGGCAUACCUCCAGUGUGGGAAGACGCAGGAGGAGCAAGGGAUUCAGUUCAACCACCAAUGGCCAAAGACUCAAUCAACGAUGCCUGCAUCAUGAAGCCUCAACAGAAACUCUUGAACAAUGAGGUUUGAGAAGCUUCUGCGUCUGUGACCAUAUCAAUGGCCUGGGAGGCUGGCACACACAGAGGGCAUGGAAGUGCUGUGUACUCCUCCCCAUACAUUUCCCUAUACAUCUUUUCCUUUUGGCUGCUUGUGAGUUGUAUUCUUUUUUGUUGUUGUUGUUUUUAAGAUGGGGGUCUUGCUCUGUUGCCAGACUGGAGUGCAAUGGUGCGAUCUCAGCUCACUGCAGCCUCCACCUCCCAGGUUCAAAUGAUUCUCCUGCUUCAGCCUCCUGAGUAGCUGGGACUAUAGGUGUGCACCACCACACGCAGCUAAUUUUUGUAGUUUUAAUAGAGACAGGGUUUCACCAUGUUGGCCAGAUGGUCUCGAUCUCUUGACCUCAUGAUCCGCCUGCCUCGGCCUCCCAAAGUGCUGAGAUUACAGACGUGAGCCACCGCGCCCGGCCAAGUUGUAUUCUUUAUAACAAAACUGUAAUCUUAAAUAUAGCACUUUCCCAAGUUCUGUGAAUUGUGCUAGUGAAUUAUUGAACUUUAGGGUGAAAUGUUUUGGGAACCCCAAAUUUGCAGUCUUUUGGAAAAAAAGUGAAGGUAACUUGGAGAUACCGAAAACUUGCAACUGAAGUCUGAAGUGGGAGCAGUUUUGUGGGACUGAGCCCUUAACCGGUAGGGUCUCCACUAACCCUGGAUACUUCAUAUCAGAAUUAAAGGACUUUGUCUUUAACUUGUAGGGUCUAUACUAACUUCAGGUUAAACUGAAUUGUAGGACAUCCCUUUGGUGUCAGAAAGUUGUUGUGGAAAAGAUGCAAUUUUUAAGAUAUUUUGAUAUGUUAAAAGAACAUUGAAAAUAAGAAAAAGACAUUGAAUUUUUAAAAAUUAUUGAUUUACUCUGAAAAUCUUUGCUUGGGGACAUCACAGGGACUUAUACUAUUUUAUACACACUUUAGGAAAUCAUUUGAUAAAAACUGCUUCCAUAUACUUAAUAUUCUGUGUCUACCCUAUGUUAGGCACUUGUGAAUAAAGCAAGAGGAAUAAAAUGUUUAAAUGCA